RNAcentral lists this ribosomal RNA (440 nucleotides) under uncultured bacterium. Its description in RNAcentral is "partial 16S ribosomal RNA". It matches the Rfam family "Bacterial small subunit ribosomal RNA", at positions 338 to 795 of the family's 1533-position model. The record is from RNAcentral.
CCUACGGGGCGCAGCAGUAGGGAAUAUUGCUCAAUGGGGGAAACCCUGAAGCAGCAACGCCGCGUGGAGGAUGAAGGUUUUCGGAUUGUAAACUCCUUUUGUUAGAGAAGAUAAUGACGGUAUCUAACGAAUAAGCACCGGCUAACUCCGUGCCAGCAGCCGCGGUAAUACGGAGGGUGCAAGCGUUACUCGGAAUCACUGGGCGUAAAGAGCGCGUAGGCGGGAUAGCAAGUCAGAUGUGAAAUCCUUUGGCUUAACCAUAGAACUUCAUUUGAAACUGUUAUUCUAGAGUAUGGGAGAGGUAGGUGGAAUGCUUGGUGUAGGGGUAAAAUCCGUAGAGAUCAAGAGGAAUACUGAGUGCGAAGGCGACCUGCUAGAACAUAACUGACGCUGAUGCGCGAAAGCGUGGGGAGCAAACAGGAUUAGAUACCCUAGUAGUC